UCGCCGUACACUGUGUAUCCACGGUUUCUUCGCAGGAGGGGGAAUGAGGAGGACAUCAUUAUGCUUUGUUUGGGGGUUUGAUUUGCGAAUCUGUGGAAGGGGCGGACAGGGAAGGAAGGAGGGCAAUCUAGAGAUGUAUGCAGCGGCUUAGCAUUAAGGAAAUAUGACGUCGUUGGAGCCAGAGAGCGUCAAUUUCUGACCCCUCCGCACCGACCGCACAUUUUCAUCUGCUUUACCA
Molecule: long non-coding RNA, 238 nt
Filed under: Volvox carteri
Lineage: Eukaryota; Viridiplantae; Chlorophyta; Chlorophyceae; Chlamydomonadales; Volvocaceae
Description: long non-coding RNA (VCAR_LNC000782)
Source: RNAcentral